UGGGGAAUAUUGGGCAAUGGGCGAAAGCCUGACGCAGCGACGCCGCGUGAGGGAUGAAGGUUUUCGGAUCGUAAACCUCUGUCAGAAGGGAAGAAGGUGCGUGGUGCUAAUCAGCCGCGUAUUGACGGUACCUUCAAAGGAAGCACCGGCUAACUCCGUGCCAGCAGCCGCGGUAAUACGGAGGGUGCGAGCGUUAAUCGGAAUUACUGGGCGUAAAGCGCACGUAGGCUGUUGUGUAAGUCAGGGGUGAAAUCCCACGGCUCAACCGUGGAACUGCCCUUGAUACUGCAUGACUGGAAUCCGGGAGAGGGUGGCGGAAUUCCAGGUGUAGGAGUGAAAUCCGUAGAUAUCUGGAGGAACAUCAAUGGUCGGAGGACGGCGCACCUGGACCGGUAUUGACGCUGAGGUGCGAAAGCGUGGGGGAGCAAACAGGAUUAGAUACC
RNAcentral lists this ribosomal RNA (443 nucleotides) under uncultured bacterium. Its description in RNAcentral is "bacterial SSU rRNA". It matches the Rfam family "Bacterial small subunit ribosomal RNA", at positions 355 to 786 of the family's 1533-position model. The record is from RNAcentral.